Molecule: transfer RNA, 53 nt
Filed under: Phlogophilus harterti
Lineage: Eukaryota; Metazoa; Chordata; Aves; Apodiformes; Trochilidae
Description: tRNA-Ser
Source: RNAcentral
ACCAGCAAGAACUGCUAAUUCUCGCAUCUGAGAUUAAAACCUCAGUCCCCUUA